This 687-nucleotide ribosomal RNA is filed under the name uncultured Pseudomonadota bacterium. RNAcentral's name for it is "bacterial SSU rRNA". It matches the Rfam family "Bacterial small subunit ribosomal RNA", at positions 48 to 724 of the family's 1533-position model. Lineage: Bacteria; Pseudomonadati; Pseudomonadota. The record is from RNAcentral.
CUAACACAUGCAAGUCGAACGGUAACAGGAAGCAGCUUGCUGCUUUGCUGACGAGUGGCGGACGGGUGAGUAAUGUCUGGGAAACUGCCUGGUGGAGGGGGAUAACUACUGGAAACGGUAGCUAAUACCGCAUAACGUCGCAAGACCAAAGAGGGGGACCUUCGGGCCUCUUGCCAUCGGAUGUGCCCAGAUGGGAUUAGCUAGUAGGUGGGGUAACGGCUCACCUAGGCGACGAUCCCUAGCUGGUCUGAGAGGAUGACCAGCCACACUGGAACUGAGACACGGUCCAGACUCCUACGGGAGGCAGCAGUGGGGAAUAUUGCACAAUGGGCGCAAGCCUGAUGCAGCCAUGCCGCGUGUAUGAAGAAGGCCUUCGGGUUGUAAAGUACUUUCAGCGGGGAGGAAGGGAGUAAAGUUAAUACCUUUGCUCAUUGACGUUACCCGCAGAAGAAGCACCGGCUAACUCCGUGCCAGCAGCCGCGGUAAUACGGAGGGUGCAAGCGUUAAUCGGAAUUACUGGGCGUAAAGCGCACGCAGGCGGUUUGUUAAGUCAGAUGUGAAAUCCCCGGGCUCAACCUGGGAACUGCAUCUGAUACUGGCAAGCUUGAGUCUCGUAGAGGGGGGUAGAAUUCCAGGUGUAGCGGUGAAAUGCGUAGAGAUCUGGAGGAAUACCGGUGGCGAAGGCGG